RNAcentral lists this small nuclear RNA (104 nucleotides) under Meriones unguiculatus (Mongolian gerbil). The record is from RNAcentral. Lineage: Eukaryota; Metazoa; Chordata; Mammalia; Rodentia; Muridae.
GUGCUCUCUUCAACAUUACAUAUACUAAAACUGGAACUAUACUGAGAAGCUCAUGGUCCCUGUGUAAGUAUGAUAUGCAUAUCCAUGAAGCAUUCCAUAUUUUU